UCUAGCAGACUAAAAUACUAGUUUCAUCGCCAUCUAUGAUUCACAUUUAAAACUACUGAUAUGGAACGAUAAGUCUUCGUUACGCAAGACCGCCGCCAUUUUUUUUCGAGCACUGAUUGAAAGCGUAUCAAUAGAUAAUCCGUACGGCGUAUUUUCCUUCCUGACAUUUUUCUUCAUAAAAAUGCUGAUCAUGUGGCCUGAGCAUCUGUACAUUUUGCCAAGAUGUCGUCUCUUUUUCCUGUACUGGCUGUACGUUUUGUAAGAAAAACUUCAGAACAAAUCAGUCUGGCAAAGUCUGAGCAUCGUCGUUGCUGCCCAAUGUACACAUGGAUUUGAUGCAGCCAGCUGGUAAAGGGUGUUCCCCUUGCUACCUGUACUGCUGUGUGUUUCGUCAAAUGAAGAAACAUGAACAGCUGAAGUAAUUGUUUCAAUCAACUU
Molecule: long non-coding RNA, 438 nt
Filed under: Daphnia pulex (common water flea)
Lineage: Eukaryota; Metazoa; Arthropoda; Branchiopoda; Diplostraca; Daphniidae
Description: uncharacterized LOC124195702, transcript variant X1
Source: RNAcentral